Molecule: long non-coding RNA, 333 nt
Filed under: Manihot esculenta (cassava)
Lineage: Eukaryota; Viridiplantae; Streptophyta; Magnoliopsida; Malpighiales; Euphorbiaceae
Description: long non-coding RNA (MESC_LNC010269)
Source: RNAcentral
GUUGAUAAAUGUGAUACUGUGUUGAUGUUUGUUGGGGUUUAGGCUAGUUUUAUACCCCUAUAUGCUUAAGAAUGUGUUUAUGCAUGUUUUAGGAUAGUUGAAUGUGUGUUUUGAGGUUUUUCGGUGGCUAGAUGUGGGAGACAGAAUCUGGUUUUGCCAUCCUGGAGAACCCAGGUUCGGCCGCCGAACCUGCCUAUGGAGGCAGAUUUUGCCACCUAAACUCGCCCCCGAAAGUUGGACUUUUGGAUCUUUAGGGGAGUUUCGACCGUCGAACUGAAGGUUGGUGACUUUCGGAUCUAUGAAAGGGUUUUGGCUGUCGAACCUGCCCCCAAA